This is a long non-coding RNA of Nomascus leucogenys (northern white-cheeked gibbon), 2380 nucleotides long. RefSeq lists it as uncharacterized. NCBI's taxonomy places the organism in Eukaryota, Metazoa, Chordata, Mammalia, Primates, Hylobatidae. The record is from RefSeq and is a predicted model, not a curated record. The transcript has 2 exons.
AUCGUUGUUGGAUAUUUGGGUUGGUUCCAAGUCUUUGCUAUUGUGAAUAGUGCCGCAAUAAACAUAGGUGUCUGCAGCCUGAUUUCUAAUUGUUCCCAGCCCAUACAUACCAAAAUGCCAUGUUUGUCUAUAGAUAUUUUCUUUAUACUUGCCUCAGCAAACUGGCUGCAAAUAAUUGGCUCUAAGGAUUCCAAGAUAAUAAGUCAAUACAGAAGCUAACGGUAGUAACUUUAAAUAAAAGGAAAAAUAACCAUCCAGAGAGCUAUCUGUAAGCAACUAAAGAUAAAAGCAGCCAGAAUAGGAAUGACCAUGUAAAUUUUGCCAAAGGCAAGAAGUGAAGCGCAUGCAAGACAGUGGACAGCAGGAGACCAAAAGGCUAAAGUGCACAGAAUUUAGUGAAGUGUCCCAAAGUCCUGAAACAGCCUCUGCAUUCACUGAUAAGCCAUAAGCUAUAUAAAAAAAAAAUUCUGGCCUUUUUGCUGGCAAAACUGGUGUUCCAACAUACACACAGGUGGAAGGAGGGGAGAAUGGAUGUGAACAUACAAGAAAUAUUCAAAAGAACAUACAAGCAGUUGCCGGCAUUCCAGAUACAGCCACAGCCUUCUCAGCAGAUGGGAGGGAAUCUACCUGCAGUGGAAGGGAGUCAGUGAAGGGGGCUUAGCAGGCGUGCCCCUUUCUAUGGGGAUGUUUAACCACCAGCCAGGAACACAGCAGAAACAGCAACCACCGCGGGGUGAUCAGCACGUUUUUAAGCACACAUAGUGAGCGGGGGUGGGGUGGCAAACUUCAAUGCACAGGACUCAGGCCACAAGCUAAAAAUGGAUGUUCAUGACGAUGACCCUGAAUAGUAGAGUUAAUGGCAUCAAAGAUAAUUAAAAUAAUACAGGUUACAAAGCCCAAACCUAACAUACAAACACAGUUAUGUAACUCGAAAAUGGUACAAUGAACUCUAGGUUCAAACUUUGGACUAUUAGUAACUGAUUCAAUAAGAUCAGCCUACAGUAAGUUUUAUAUUAAAAUGAUUUUCUGUAAAGGGAAAAACUGCAUCUUAUAUGGCAAAUUCCAAGUAGAAAACGAAAGAAAAAUUUUAAAUGUCCACAGAAAGCCGAAAUGUACAAGUUUCCACAAAAUGUGGAACAAAUUUAUUUUUAAAUAAAGCGUGAGUUUUAAAAACAAAUAGCAAAAACACGACCAUUUAAGAAAAUACGUAAAGUCGGGAAAAUCACUCAUAAUUCUACCACUUCAAGGCCACCACCCUGUUUCGGUUUUGUUCCCUAUACACAGAUUCGUGCGGGGUUCCCGGGUGGAGCGUGCUUCUUAGCCGUUACUGUGUACCCGGCCAUUUCACUUUAUAGCAUACGUGUUCUCCAAAAAGCAAAGAGUGUUAAGUCCACACGAGGGAUAACGGCUUGCGUUUACCUCGCUUUUAGCAAGCGACGCUUUGCACCCCAGAAGCAGCCCGGCUGGGAAGUGCAGGCCCGGGUGCUCGGGGAACCACCGUGCCCAGCUGAGCGGCUCACCAGCCCGGAGUCGGGCCCUAGGAGGAUGGGAGCGUGCGCGGACGCAGGCGGAGACCUUGGGGACUGCGGACGGAGACCCAUAGCCCUGACCUCCCGACGCGCCCAUCCUGACCACUCUGGGCCCAGCGGUGCAGGAGGGCGCGCGUGUGAGGUGGUCCCUUUUUAGCACUACCUCACCGGAAAACCAGCAAAGCAAAAUCCUGUUGCCACCUAGACAAUAGGGAAGGAGGGUCUUCCAAGGGCGGCGACCUUCGCCUGGACAGCGGUAUCCUGCGGGCGACCUUGGGCCGGGCGGCCGGGGCUCCAAGCUUACCUCGGACACCACGGCUACGCCACUCUCCAGGACAAGCUAUGCAAGAAGCAUGGCACCAGCAUCGGCUUCUGGUGAGCAGCUCAGGCUGCUUCCAUUCCUGGUGGAAGGGAAAGGGGAGCUGACUUGUGCAGAGAUCAUUUCCAAGAGGGAAAUCAAGAGAGAGAGGUGGGAGGUGCCAGGCUCUUUUUAACGUCCAGUUAUCUUGGGAGCUAAUAGAGUAAGAACUCACUGAUACCUACUACCCCCAUCCUCCAUUUCUUCAUGAAGAGUCUGCCCCCAUGAUCCAUACACCUCCCAUUAGGACCCCCCUUUAACACUGAGGAUCACAUUUCAACAUGAGAUUUGGAGGGGCCAAACAAACCGUAUCCAAACUAUAGAAGUGGCAAAUUGGCAAUAUCUACUUAUUCAUUCAAAAGAAAUAGGGUAAAAACAUGAGAUGAUCCAUGGAUGUUUCAGCUUUUCUGUCACUGACCCUGCAUACUGAAAAGCAAUAAAUUCCUUCCUAACUUAAAUAAAGUAAUGGCAGAUAUGCCUAAGGCCACAAGUC